CGGCUGCGUGACCUGAGAGCGCGAAGCCGACCGAGUGCCAGGUCUACACUGACGGCCGGGACUGUGUUAGGAAUCUUAAAAGCACUACCAACAUGUCUGACAUCCAAGAAUCCAUUAACCAGCUCCAAGAUGUGAACCUUCAUGAGAAUCGGAGAUGUGUACAAGUGACAGAAAGUGACUUCGGAAGUGAGUCUGAACUUCUAGUCACUAUUGGAGCCACUGUACCUACAGGCUUUGAGCAAACAGCUGCAGAUGAAGUGAGAGAGAAAUUGGGGUCAUCAUGCAAAAUCAGCAGAGACCGCGGCAAGAUAUAUUUUGUCAUUUCAGUGGAAAGUCUGGCUCAGGUUCACUGUCUGAGGUCAGUUGAUAACUUAUUUGUGGUUGUUCAGGAGUUUCAAGAUUACCAGUUCAAAAAAACAAAGGAAGAAGUUCUUAAGGAUUUGGAAGACUUGGCUGGAAAACUCCCAUGGUCAAACCCUUUAAAAGUGUGGAAAAUUAAUACCAGUUUUAAGAAAAAGAAAACAAAGCGCAAAAAGAUAAAGCAGAAUUCAAGUAAAGGGAAGAUUGAUAAUGGACAAGGAGACAAAACAGAUGAGAGAGAGAUUAAGAAAGAGUUUACUAACAGUGCUUUAGAUUCAUAUAUCUUAGAUUAUUAUGAAAAUCCAGCCAUCAAAGAGGAAAUACCAACAUUAGUAGGUGAUGAUUUGGCAUCUUGCAAAGAUGAGACCGAUGAAAGCUCAAAAGAAGAAACUGAGCCUGAAGUUCUAAAGUUUAGAGUCACAUGCAACAGGGCCGGAGAGAAACAUUGCUUUACUUCAAAUGAGGCUGCAAGAGAUUUUGGUGGUGCUGUUCAAGAGUAUUUUAAGUGGAAGGCUGACAUGACCAACUUUGAU
Carlito syrichta (Philippine tarsier) is the source of this 893-nucleotide RNA transcript. It is a transcript of the gene named THUMP domain-containing protein 3 pseudogene, with no coding region annotated. The transcript has a single exon. NCBI's taxonomy places the organism in Eukaryota, Metazoa, Chordata, Mammalia, Primates, Tarsiidae. The record is from RefSeq and is a predicted model, not a curated record.